This 77-nucleotide transfer RNA is filed under the name Omnitrophica bacterium RIFCSPHIGHO2_02_FULL_46_20. Its description in RNAcentral is "tRNA-Pro". It matches the Rfam family "tRNA". Rfam says of the family: Transfer RNA (tRNA) molecules are approximately 80 nucleotides in length. Their secondary structure includes four short double-helical elements and three loops (D, anti-codon, and T loops). Further hydrogen bonds mediate the characteristic L-shaped molecular structure. tRNAs have two regions of fundamental functional importance: the anti-codon, which is responsible for specific mRNA codon recognition, and the 3' end, to which the tRNAs corresponding amino acid is attached (by aminoacyl-tRNA synthetases). tRNAs cope with the degeneracy of the genetic code in two manners: having more than one tRNA (with a specific anti-codon) for a particular amino acid; and 'wobble' base-pairing, i.e. permitting non-standard base-pairing at the 3rd anti-codon position. RNAcentral also lists the same sequence under 3 other names. Lineage: Bacteria; Pseudomonadati; Candidatus Omnitrophota. The record is from RNAcentral.
CGGGGCGUAGCGCAGUUGGCUAGCGCGCUUGGUUCGGGACCAAGAGGUCGACAGUUCAAAUCUGUCCGCCCCGACCA